GUGAGGAAUAUUGGACAAUGGGCGCAAGCCUGAUCCAGCCAUGCCGCGUGCAGGAAGACGCAUCUAUGGUGUGUAAACUGCUUUUGUACGGGAAGAAACACUCCCUCGUGAGGGAGCUUGACGGUACCGUAAGAAUAAGGAUCGGCUAACUCCGUGCCAGCAGCCGCGGUAAUACGGAGGAUCCAAGCGUUAUCCGGAAUCAUUGGGUUUAAAGGGUCCGUAGGCGGUUUAAUAAGUCAGUGGUGAAGGCCCAUCGCUCAACGAUGGAACGGCAAUUGAUACUGUUAGACUUGAAUUACAAGGAAGUAACUAGAAUAUGUAGUGUAGCGGUGAAAUGCUUAGAUAUUACAUGGAAUACCAAGUGCGAAGGCAGGUUACUACUUGUGGAUUGACGCUGAUGGACGAAAGCGUGGGGAGCGAACAGGAUUAGAUACCCGAGUAGUCC
RNAcentral lists this ribosomal RNA (445 nucleotides) under uncultured bacterium. RNAcentral describes it as "partial 16S ribosomal RNA". It matches the Rfam family "Bacterial small subunit ribosomal RNA", at positions 354 to 796 of the family's 1533-position model. The record is from RNAcentral.